CAUGUCCAUUAAUACCCUCACAAACAUUCACAAUGGGACGUGGAUGAUACAUUGAUAGUUGAUACCUCUCACAAACGGAGUCUACCCUAACAAACGUUCACAUGGCACCAAAGUAAUAACUUGAAACGCGCGCCAUUUCUCGAAUCUUUCUAGGAUCAUAUAAUUGUCUACCGUUCUUUUCUUUCAACGUCAAGAUUUGUUGUAGAUAUAUAGCCAUGGUUCAUGACUCCAUUUUGCCUUCUCGUAUGAGGUCAUCAUCAUCUUUCAGGAGACAAUUUGCAAAGAAUGAAUUGGGUAGUUGGUCAACACUCUUCAAGAGGCACCGUU
This is a non-coding RNA of Cicer arietinum (chickpea), 327 nucleotides long. The record is from RefSeq and is a predicted model, not a curated record. NCBI's taxonomy places the organism in Eukaryota, Viridiplantae, Streptophyta, Magnoliopsida, Fabales, Fabaceae.